GACAUGGGUCUGUAGCUCAGCUGGUUAGAGCACCGUCUUGAUAAGGCGGGGGUCGUUGGUUCGAGCCCAACUAGACCCACCAAAUCUUCCGAACAUAAGAUGCGAGGAUCAGUGGGGGAUUAGCUCAGCUGGGAGAGCACCUGCUUUGCAAGCAGGGGGUCGUCGGUUCGAUCCCGUCAUCCUCCACCAACCAAUAUGUCCUGCGGUAGGGCAAAGAAACUAACACCAAAGCGGCUUCGCAAGAGGCCUCUUUGUUGUUGGUCCGGUAUAGACCGGGUCAAUCGGCUGUUCUUUAAAAAUUCAUAGAGUCGAAUCAGCGUUGCCGGCGGAAAGCAGGAAACUGCACCGUGCCGUCGGCAACAAAAAUUUGAUUGCGUCAAAACGAAUAUUCAAUUGAGCGAAAGCUGAUUGAAGUUCAGUAAUGACGAAUUGUUCUCUAGGUAGCAAUACCGAAGAAGUCACAUUACGGCAUAACGCGCGAGGUGAAACACCU
Molecule: transfer RNA, 493 nt
Filed under: Paracidovorax avenae
Lineage: Bacteria; Pseudomonadati; Pseudomonadota; Betaproteobacteria; Burkholderiales; Comamonadaceae
Description: partial 16S-23S ribosomal RNA intergenic spacer
Rfam family: tRNA (bases 6-79)
Source: RNAcentral